RNAcentral lists this long non-coding RNA (6950 nucleotides) under Malus domestica (apple). RNAcentral describes it as "long non-coding RNA (MDOM_LNC015913)". Lineage: Eukaryota; Viridiplantae; Streptophyta; Magnoliopsida; Rosales; Rosaceae. The record is from RNAcentral.
GCUUUCGAGGCGUUUUCCGGCGAAUCCCCGGCGAGUUAGGAGUCGAGGUAGGUAUAAAUCUCUUCGUCUCGUCAAGUACUACAACUUUCCUUUUUGUUUCACUCAAUUUCGUUGAGUAUUGAAGAAGUUAUACUCAUUUGAAAAAUACCCAGUUUCCGGCGACCUCCGAGGCUUUCGAUGAAUUUUCCGGCCAAACCACGGCGAACUAGGUGUUGUGCAAGGUACCAUUCUCUUUGUCUCUUCAAGGGCUACAACUUUCGUUUUUGAAUCACUUGAUUUCGUUGAGAAAUGACAAAGUUAUGGCAAUUUGAAAAACUGCCCGGAAAACGGCCGCCGGAAAAACCAGUCCGGCGACCCAAGGAAGAAGAAGGUGCUACAGUAAAAAUAAAAAAUAAAAAUAAAAUUAUUUUAAAAAUAUGUCGACGUCCGUGACGUCGAGUAGAUCACUGUGGUAUAUUCAUAUACCUAAAUUGAACACCGUAUGAGAAAGUUAUUGAGGAUUGUUGGUUAGGUGUUCAAAUAACGUUUUUAUAGUUUUCACAUUUAGGUGAAAAUGUGAAUUGAUGAUCCGACCGUUGGAUCGUCACCAAACUUUGAUACGUUGUAAUACGUAAUAUUUGAGGAUUAUUGGAACUUACGGAUUGGGAAUCCGAGUUACGGAUCUUCCGGAAUUGGAAUUGUAAGUCCAUAAUAUAAAAUGUUAACCGUCACUUAGUUUUGGAAAUUGACGGAGACCCGACCGUUGGAUGGUAAUGAAAUUUUAGGAUGUUGUCCUAGAGGUAUAAUGUGGACCUCUGGAAGUUAUGGAUUUAAAAUCUGAGUGGCAGAUCUUCCGGAUCGAUCAACGUAGUGACGUAUUUUAUAUAAGUUAUGUAUUCUAUCGAUAUGAAUUCUGAGCCUGGAUUUGAUUACUAUUCUAGGCGGCGAUCGUCAUGACGCCUUGAUGUGUGGUGCUAGGGAGUUGUUGGACGAACUCCAGGUGAGUGGGCAGUUUUGUUUUCCGUAUAUAUAUAUAUACUUGACGUUUCCCAGAAAUUGAAUUGAAAUGAAAAUAUGUUUAAAAUGAAAUGCAUAUGAGUUAUGUGGAAAAACGGGAAGUGAAAUACCAUGCAUAGAAUUGAUAUGAAAAGUAUAUAGAAAUGUGAGUUGAAAUGCCAUGCAUGAAUUAAUAUAUGAUGCAUAUGUAUGAAUUGGUGCGGUGGACGCACAGGUAAGAAUUGAUUUAUGAUGCAUAUGUAUGAAAUGGUGCGGUGGACGCACAGAUGAGUAUUUAAUUACUGUUAUGAUGAUGAUGAUAUAUAUUGAGCUCAAAUCCUGCACCAUGGUUUAGUGCUUAUAGUAUUCACCGCAUCGCACGCUCGCCUUGGAUCCAAGUAGAUGCUAGUCGUACAGUCCACGCGGAGUGGGUACGACAGACCAGUCGCGAGAGUGUUAGUGAGAUUCCGACUGGUGGGUGACCUUAGAUUAUGUGCACAGAUGAUUUAUGAGAAGCACUAGAGCGUAACUUGCGUGCAGAAGGCCGGACGGGUCACAGAGGUGACUCCGGUAGAGUGAUAAUGAUAGAUUUUGAGCUCUAGGUUCAACCGUACAGGGCUAUUAGAGGGCCUACGGUUGAUUACUUUCUUGCACCUGAUAUGAUUAUGUUGAUGCAUUCAUACCUUAUUACUGUUGAGAUGAUGUGGCAUGGCAUAAUUAAUAUGAGAAUGUUGAGAUGAUGUGGCAUGGCAUAAUUGUUAUGAAAAUGUUGAGUUAACGACUUGAAGUCUUGAGAAUAUAUAUGUAUAUUUAUAUUUUACAUUUCUGGGAAAGUAUACAGGUUUUACGGAGAGGGGUUACAACGUUUUGAGAAAUGUUUGGAUUUGGAAAAAGAAUUGUUUUACUGACCCACUCAAUUUUGGUUUUGCGCCCCUCCAGGUUCAGGAAUCACAAAGGUGUGGUGACUACGAGGAAUUCGACGGUGUUCUGACAGAUUGGACAAAAUUAGGACUCACCUUCGGGUGUAUCAACUUAUAAAUUGUAUCUUAAAGCUUCCGUACUGUGCAAAUGGUUACGUCACUCUCACGUGACGGCCAACAUGCCCUCCUUCGGGACGGGGUGUGUCAGUUGGUAUCAGAGCAUGGUUGCAAUCUUGGACAUCUUGAGAAGUCCUAGUGAAUUCUGUCAGAACUACACCGCCUCGUAGCAAGCCACGUAGUUAGAGGAACUUAGUCUCCCUGAUUUAGCGGUUUAGGGGGGAAACUAUUACUAUGGUGAUUCAGUCUAUUGUCUAAAGGGACAUUUUAAGAUGGGUAAUGAGUUGAACUUGAAUCACCUUAUGAAAUGAUGAACCUGAGAGAGCGAAAGUAACGGUUUAACCAUUUUGGAAAAGAUGUUUCAGGUUAUGCAAGUCAAAGGAAAUUUCCUUCUGACAAGGGGUCGAGACGACUACCUGGUUUUGGUUAUGAAUUUGUAUCCUGGUGGAAACAGGAGUAUGAAUUGUUGUCACCAGAGGAAUCAGUCGAUUGAGAAUUGUUUAAGGACUUGUUUAAAGGAAAAGUUUAUCCCUCCGGCAUUUAUCGAUGGUAGUAAACAAGAGUUUACAAAUAUGAGACAAGGAAGGUGAUGAUCGAGGGAUAUUAUAGAAAGUUUUCAGACUUGCCUCGUUCCAUCCAGAUAUGGUUGUUAAUUUGGUGGAGGUGUUAUGUUGUUUUAAGCUGGGUGGCAAAAAGGGAAGUGGUAUUUUGGGUGACCACUAUCCAUUAUACUUCUUACCAGGAAUAUACGAGAUGCUGUUGAGUCUUGAGGACUCUGAGAACAUGAUCAACGAGAAUAAAGAAGAAUAAGAAAUGAAUGGGAAUUUAAAAGAAGACGAUAAAGUUAAUGAUUCGUCUUAUCAAGGAUAUAGAAAGAUUCAGAGCUUCGAAAGAAGUGAAGCUAGAGUUAAUUCUUCCAGCUGAGGUUUUAAUGUCGCUGGUCAGAGUAAAAGUGAUGGAUAUACUGGUAAUCCCAGAUAUUUGAGACAAGGUGUCUCGAGUAAAGGAAAUGUACUUUGUGCAGCAGGUACAAAAUUAACACUUUGGGAAGUGUGAAAUUAAUGCAUGUGUUUAUGUGAACAGAUGGGACACAGAAUUGUGAAUCGUCCCUAGAAUCAGUUGUACUCAACAAUUUUCCAUGAUAUCAUAGUGUCGAUUCAGCAGAGUUAUGGACUUAGUAGUUUGGUCGGAUUGACCGUGAGUACAAAGAGAUUUGAUGAGUAUAUGUUCAGCUGUACAGACCAUGAGAAGUGGAUUCGACUGACACAUGAGAAAUUGGUGAGUUAUAGGCUCGGCCGUACCGACCACGCGGAGUGGAUCCGGCCGACGUACUAUUGAGAUAAGAGUUGAAUCAGUCGUAUUGAUCAUUCUAGUUGACUUCGGCUGAUAUAUUUCUUAUUAUGUAUGUUAUUACCUUGAGAGUAGUAAAUAAAUGUAGUUGAGAUGAGUGUAUGUAUUUUGCAUUGAGUGACAAAAUAGUAAUGUUAUAUCUUUGAGAGUGGUUGCCUACUUAUCGAGACAACGAUGAUUUAUCAGUAUUGCGGGCUGCAGACCGUAAUAUUAAUAACUCAUUCGUGGAUUCGUUAAGCAAGCAAACCGGUAGAUUAUUUUACGUUAGUAUUGUACUUAUUUGGAAUGCUUAAUAAUAAUAGAAUAUAUAUUGUAUCAGUUAAUUCUGUUCCAUUAGAUUGGUUGGUUAUAAUUGUGACAAGACGAAAUGUUAUGGGAAACCAGUACUUUCCAUCGAUCUGGAUGAACAGAGAUUACUUUUGUAAGUAUGCAAAAUGGAUUGAGUCAGGCUGUUAUUUAUGCUGUGAGAGCAAAGAGAUUGUUUUCGAAAGGCUGUCAAAAAUACUUAGCUCAUGUGGUGCUAAAUGAUGUUGUUUGGAGUAGUGUGAAUAAUGUCGAAAGAGUUAGACUUUUCUUGAUGUCUUCCUUGAAAGUAUACCUGGAUUGCCUUCAGGCAGAGAUAUGAGGUUCAUUAUUGAUUUGUUGCCAGGUAUAAAUUUAUAUUGGAGAUUGGUUCAGGAUGAGUUAAGGGAAUUGGAAAUUCAGUUGAGAGAAUUGGUUGAUAAAAGUUUUAUUCAACCUAGUACAACACUUUUGAGGAGCCCAGUUUGUUGGUGAGGAAGAAAAAUGGAUCUUGAGACUGUUCAUUGAUUAUAGACAAUGGAGUCGGGUAACGAUUGAGAACCGUUAUCCAUGGUGAUGUACUGAUGUUUAUUUAACCAGCUCAGAAGUAAAUUGCGAAGAUUCAAAGAUUGAAUUGAGAUCUGGUUACUACCAAUUGAAUAUUUUAAGUGACGUUGAUCAUAAGAUGGUUUUCUGGACUUGUUAUAGUCUUUAUGAAGUUUGGUGAUGCUAUAUGGAUACUCAUGCUGUUUUAUGAGUUGAUGGAUGAAGUAUUCCAAUAAUGCCUUGAUAAAUUGAUAUCAUUUUCAUUGACGAUAUUCUGGUAUACUCUAAGCUAGAGCAGAGCAUGUAAAUGUAUUAAGUCGAUGAAGCAAAGAUUGAGAGAACGUUGGUUGUAUGCUAAGUUUAGCAAAGGCUAAAGUUAAACGAAUCAAGUGGCAUUCUGAGAAUUGUUAUAUAUUCUUAAGGUAUUCAAGUGAAUCCUUAAAAGAUAGCAGAAAUUGAGAAAUUGGAACAACCACAAGCCAUAAUUGAGAUUCGGAAAUUCUUAACUUAUCAGGCUAUUUUGGAUGGUUGUGAAAGAAUUUUUAGUCAUUGUUUUGUCAUUGAUGAGACUGUUGAGAAAGGAGGUUAUGUAUGAGUGGGAAGGAAAUUGUGAGCAAAGGAUUCAACAACUGAAGUAUUUCCUCACUCAUGCACGUAUUUUAGUAAUCCCAGAGAAUAAUGGUAAUCAUAAAUUUUUAGUGAUGUUUCUUGAAUGGUAUUGGAUGCAUGUUGAUGCAAAUGUUAGGGUGAUUGCAUACGUUUCACGAUAAAUGGAACCUCAUGAGAUGAAUUACCCUACGGGUGACUUGGAAGUCAUGAUUACCAUUCUUGCUGUGAAGUUAUGAAGGCAUUAUAUUUGGUAAGAAUGCAAGAUUUUUACGAAUCCAAAAGUCUUCAAUAUCCAUUACUUGGAAGGAUUUUGAUAUGAGGCAGCGAAAGUGAAUUGUAUUGCUUAAUGAACAUGAUUGUACGAUCAGGGUGAUCGUAAAGUUUGUUCUAGCUCAAGCACUUGGCGAGAAGACUACAGUAAGAUUAAUGUCUGGCACGUUUGCCAAGAUUAUCUUCUUGUGGAUUGGAAAUCAACUGAAGUAAAGUUGAGAAUUGGAGAUCGAGAAGAAGCUCUACUUGCUAAUUUUCAAGUUAGGCCUGUUUGGUAAGGUCGUACUCGAGACUCAAAUGGUAUAUGGAUACAAGCAAACGAAAACGUAUGUGCCUAAUGCUGAGGAUUUAAAGCAAGCAAAUUUGGAUGAAGUACAUUGUUUAGCUUCUGCAAUAUUCCGGACGUAAUAAGAUUUAUUAUACCAUCCGACGUUGUAUCGGUCAGCAGAUUGAAGCAGAAAGAGAUAAACCUUUGGAUUGAGAUAAUUAUUUUCUGUUUCGCAGUGGAAACGGAAAGAUAUUACUUUGGAUUAUGUGUACAAGCUUCCUUGUACACAAGAUGGUUAUGAUCGAAUUUGAAGUGAUAGUUGGUCAAUGUACCAAGUUAGUACAAUUACUCCAGUGCUGAGUAAUAACUUUUUCCCAGACAGGGCAACGGUACUUAAUGUAUUUUGUGUUCGAUGCGUUGUCGCUAGGUGGCAGAGUCGUCACAUGAGAUUCUAGUGCAACUAUUGAGAAUUAAAUUGGAUUCGACUUGAUAAGGAACCAAGGACGACUUUGGAUUGGAAAAAAGAAGGUCCUAAGAAUUAAGACAGAGUAAGUAGUAAAAGCUUUGUGAAGGAAAUCAUUCAGUAGAAAAUUACAUGGGAGACAGAAGAACGGAUGAGAGUUAUGUAUCCGAGACUAUUUUAUGAGUUUUGAUGUUCUGGUUGGUGAUUGGAAUUUCGGGGACGAAAUUCUAUAAGGAGGGGAGAUUGUCACAGCCCGUCCCGGAAUUAUUAAUUCCGAGGACGUGAGAUGACCAAUGUGACCUUAAACGGGAUUAAGGUGUGUAAAUGUAUGACAUUUGUUUUACUUUAAGAUCCUAAACUAGGGUUAGAUUUAUAUUUGUAUGUGUUAAUUUGUGCUUGGACUUAGGUAGGGCCUCCUACCCUGAAUUCCCUCCCUAAAACCCGUAACCUUUCUUCUCUCUUCUUCUUUCAUUCCAGACUCUCUCUCUCUCUUAUUCUUUUCUGAAAACUCUCUCAUUCUCUCUCUUACUCUCGAACUCACGGCAACCACCAAGAACCACCACAAUCUUGUACCAACGUUCCAUUUAAGACCACCAUCGUGAUCCUGGGGACUUCACGAGCACGGGGAUACCAAUUUCAGGUGAGUUUCACUUCGAAAACCCUAGUUCUAAAGUUGCCGUGAGAUGACACUGUUCAUGAGCUUUGAAUUGGUUACGUUUUAGGCUAAAACAAGAUCACAGAGAGUUUAUUAAGGUCCCAAGGAAGCUCGGAGUGCUUCGUUGGAAGUUUUUGGACGUAAGAACACGGAGAUCGACAAGUUCAAAGUUUGGCCGGAGCUUUCGAGGCGUUUUCCGGCGAAUCCCCGGCGAGUUAGGAGUCGAGGUAGGUAUAAAUCUCUUCGUCUCGUCAAGUACUACAACUUUCCUUUUUGUUUCACUCAAUUUCGUUGAGUAUUGAAGAAGUUAUACUCAUUUGAAAAAUACCCAGUUUCCGGCGACCUCCGAGGCUUUCGAGGAAUUUUCCGGCCAAACCACGGCGAACUAGGUGUUGUGCAAGGUACCAUUCUCUUUGUCUCUUCAAGGGCUACAACUUUCGUUUUUGAAUCACUUGAUUUCGUUGAGAAAUGACAAAGUUAUGGCAAUUUGAAAAA